This 906-nucleotide ribosomal RNA is filed under the name Leucoagaricus naucinus. Its description in RNAcentral is "eukaryotic LSU rRNA". It matches the Rfam family "Eukaryotic large subunit ribosomal RNA", at positions 54 to 946 of the family's 3401-position model. The record is from RNAcentral. Lineage: Eukaryota; Fungi; Basidiomycota; Agaricomycetes; Agaricales; Agaricaceae.
AGGAAAAGAAACUAACAAGGAUUCCCUAGUAACUGCGAGUGAAGCGGGAAAAGCUCAAAUUUAAAAUCUGGCGGUCUCUGGCUGUCCGAGUUGUAAUCUAGAGAAGUGUUGCCCGCGCUGGACCGUGUACAAGUCUCCUGGAAUGGAGCGUCAUAGAGGGUGAGAAUCCCGUCUUUGACACGGACUACCAGGGCUUUGUGGUACGCUCUCAAAGAGUCGAGUUGUUUGGGAAUGCAGCUCAAAAUGGGUGGUAAAUUCCAUCUAAAGCUAAAUAUUGGCGAGAGACCGAUAGCGAACAAGUACCGUGAGGGAAAGAUGAAAAGAACUUUGGAAAGAGAGUUAAACAGUACGUGAAAUUGCUGAAAGGGAAACGCUUGAAGUCAGUCGCGUUGGCCGGGGAUCAGCCUCGCUCUUUUGCGUGGUGUACUUUCCGGUCGACGGGUCAGCAUCAAUUUUGAUCGCUGGAAAAAGGCCUGAGGAAUGUGGCAGCUCCGGCUGUGUUAUAGCUUCUGGUCACAUACAGCGGUUGGGAUUGAGGAACUCAGCACGCCGCAAGGCCGGGUUUCGACCACGUUCGUGCUUAGGAUGCUGGCAUAAUGGCUUUAAGCGACCCGUCUUGAAACACGGACCAAGGAGUCUAACAUGCCUGCGAGUGUUUGGGUGGAAAACCCGAGCGCGUAAUGAAAGUGAAAGUUGAGAUCCCUGUCGCGGGGAGCAUCGACGCCCGGACCAGAACUUUUGGGACGGAUCCGCGGUAGAGCAUGUAUGUUGGGACCCGAAAGAUGGUGAACUAUGCCUGAAUAGGGUGAAGCCAGAGGAAACUCUGGUGGAGGCUCGUAGCGAUUCUGACGUGCAAAUCGAUCGUCAAAUUUGGGUAUAGGGGCGAAAGACUAAUCGAACCAUCUA